GAUGAACGCUGGCGGCGUGCUUAACACAUGCAAGUCGAACGGAAAGGCCCAAGCUUGCUUGGGUACUCGAGUGGCGAACGGGUGAGUAACACGUGGGUGAUCUGCCCUGCACUUCGGGAUAAGCCUGGGAAACUGGGUCUAAUACCGGAUAGGACCACCUCCUGGAUGUUGUGGGGGGAAGUGUUUUCGGUGUGGGAUGAGCGCGCGGCGUAUCUGCUUGUUGGGGGGGUGAUGGCGUUUCAAGGCGUUGUCGGGUAGCCGGCGUGAGAGGGUGUGCGGGGACAGUGGGACUGAGAGACGGCCCAGACACCUACGGGGGGGGGCAGAGGGGAGAAUUGCACAAUGGGGGCAAGACUGAUGCAGAGACGCGGCGUGGGGGAGGACGGGGUUGGGGUUGUGAACUCCGUUCGCUAGGGAGGAAGCGUGUUGGGACGGUACCUGGAGAAGAAGCACCGGCUAACUACGUU
This 467-nucleotide ribosomal RNA is filed under the name uncultured bacterium. Its description in RNAcentral is "partial 16S ribosomal RNA". It matches the Rfam family "Bacterial small subunit ribosomal RNA", at positions 28 to 507 of the family's 1533-position model. The record is from RNAcentral.